GUUCCUAUACCUGGAUAGCUCAGUUGGUUAGAGUGUGGUGCUGUUAAUUCCAAAGCUGCAGGUUUGAUCCCCAUAUGGGACA
This is a non-coding RNA of Podarcis lilfordi (Lilford's wall lizard), 82 nucleotides long. The record is from the annotation of a GenBank genome assembly. NCBI's taxonomy places the organism in Eukaryota, Metazoa, Chordata, Lepidosauria, Squamata, Lacertidae.